RNAcentral lists this unclassified non-coding RNA (719 nucleotides) under Hevea brasiliensis (rubber tree). The record is from RNAcentral. Lineage: Eukaryota; Viridiplantae; Streptophyta; Magnoliopsida; Malpighiales; Euphorbiaceae.
CUUUUAUUCCACUUUGACCCAAAUAGAAAAUCUAAAACCCAACUCUAUUGUAAACCCAAAUACACUUUCAUGGAAUUGGCUGAAGAUGUUGUCAUAGUUGGAGCUGGAAUUGCAGGACUUACUACUUCCUUGGGGCUUCAUCGGUAUUAUUAUCAGGCGGAAUUCUUAAUUAUAUAUGUAGAUUUGUUUUACUAAUGUAUUGUAUUCUUGAUUACUUUUCAGUCUUGGAAUUAAAAGCUUAGUGCUGGAAUCCUCUGCUAAUUUGAGGGUCACUGGAUUUGCUUUCGCUACAUGGACCAAUGCUUGGAAGGCAUUAGAUGCUGUUGGUAUUGGUGAUUAUCUCCGGCGGCAACAUGUGUGGAUUGAUGGGUACUCAUUAAUUUCGUCUGAAUUUAUCACUGAAUUUCUAUAUAUACAAUGAACUUUAAUUUGUAUGGUUAAAAUCACUCAAUUUUGAUUGUAUUACUAAUGUGAAUGUGCAUCACAGAGUAGUCGCUACCUCCACAAUCACAGGCCAGAUGGGUGCCCAAAUAUCCUUUAAGAGCAAGGGAAAGCAUGGAGACCAUGAGGUUCGUAUUGUGAAAAGGAAGUUGUUGCUGGAAGCCCUUGCACAGGAGCUCCCACAGGGUACUAUAAGGUUCUGCUCCAAAGUGGUUUCUAUUGACGAAUCAAACUAUUUCAAGCUGGUUUAUCUUGAUGAUGGUACCAUCAUCAAAGCA